Molecule: ribosomal RNA, 492 nt
Filed under: uncultured bacterium
Lineage: Bacteria
Description: partial 16S ribosomal RNA
Rfam family: Bacterial small subunit ribosomal RNA
Source: RNAcentral
AGUGAACGCUGGCGGUAUGCCUAAUACAUGCAAGUCGAACGGCAGCACAAUAAGAUUGCUUCUUUACGGUUAGCGGCGGGCGGGUGAGUAAGGAGUACAUCAGCAUCUACUUUUUCGUGGAGAACAUCGUGAAACAGCUGAUGAUAACGGCGCAUACGAUCAACGGGAGAAAUCAGAAGUUAUUCGCAGCUUUCGUGUUUGUUUUAGCCGAUGCCGCAUUAGCUAGUUGGCUAGGUAACGGCUCACCAAGGCAACGAUACGUAGCUGAGCUGAGAGGAUGAUCGGCCACACUGGAACUGAGACACGGUCCAGACUCCUACGGGAGGCAGCAGUAGGGAAUCUUCCGCAAUGGGCGAAAGCCUGACGGAGCAACGCCGCGUGAGUGAUGAAGGUCUUCGGAUCGUAAAACUCUGUUAUUAGGGAAGAACAUAUGUGUAAGUAACUGUGCACAUCUUGACGGUACCUAAUCAGAAAGCCACGGCUAACUACGUG